UACGUAGGUGGCGAGCGUUAUCCGGAAUUAUUGGGCGUAAAGAGCGCGCAGGUGGUUGAUUAAGUCUGAUGUGAAAGCCCACGGCUUAACCGUGGAGGGUCAUUGGAAACUGGUCGACUUGAGUGCAGAAGAGGGAAGUGGAAUUCCAUGUGUAGCGGUGAAAUGCGUAGAGAUAUGGAGGAACACCAGUGGCGAAGGCGGCUUCCUGGACCAGUACCGACGUUCAGGCACGAAAGCGUGGGGAGCAAACAGG
RNAcentral lists this ribosomal RNA (253 nucleotides) under uncultured bacterium. RNAcentral's name for it is "partial 16S ribosomal RNA". It matches the Rfam family "Bacterial small subunit ribosomal RNA", at positions 524 to 776 of the family's 1533-position model. The record is from RNAcentral.